CUGUAAAGCAAGUCAGUGGUGAAAGCCCUGGGCUUAACUCAGGGAUUGCCAUUGAAACUGUUUUACUAGAGUGUAGUAGAGGACGGCGGAAUGAGUUGUGUAGCGGUGAAAUGCAUAGAUAUAACUCAGAACACCUAUUGCGUAGGCAGCUGUCUAUACUACAACUGACGCUGAGGCACGAAAGCGUGGGGAGCGAACAGGAUUAGAUACCCUGGUAGUCCACGCUGUAAACGAUGAUCACUCGUUGUUGGCUACUUAGUAGUCAGUGACCAAGGGAAACCGAUAAGUGAUCCACCUGGGGAGUACGUCGGCAACGAUGAAACUCAAAGGAAUUGACGGGGGCCCGCACAAGCGGAGGAACAUGUGGUUUAAUUCGAUGAUACGCGAGGAACCUUACCUGGGCUUAAAUGCUGGCUGCAUUGGAGGGAAACCUUCAUUUCCUACGGGACCGCCAGCAAGGUGCUGCAUGGUUGUCGUCAGCUCGUGCCGUGAGGUGUCGGGUUAAGUCCCAUAACGAGCGCAACCCCUAUCGCUAGUUGCCAGCAUGUAAUGGUGGGGACUCUAGCGAGACUGCCGGUGUAAACCGGAGGAAGGUGGGGAUGACGUCAAAUCAGCACGGCCCUUACGUCCAGGGCUACACACGUGUUACAAUGGCCGGUACAAAGAGCAGCCACCUGGCGACAGGGCGCUAAUCUCUAAAACCGGUCUCAGUUCGGAUCGAAGUCUGCAAUUCGACUUCGUGAAGGUGGAUUCGCUA
Molecule: ribosomal RNA, 757 nt
Filed under: uncultured organism
Description: bacterial SSU rRNA
Rfam family: Bacterial small subunit ribosomal RNA
Source: RNAcentral